This 253-nucleotide ribosomal RNA is filed under the name uncultured bacterium. Its description in RNAcentral is "partial 16S ribosomal RNA". It matches the Rfam family "Bacterial small subunit ribosomal RNA", at positions 524 to 776 of the family's 1533-position model. The record is from RNAcentral.
GACAGAGGUGCCGAGCGUUAGGCGGAACCACUGGGCUUAAAGCGUGUGUAGGCGGGCGGGCAAGUACCUUGUGAAAUCCCACGGCUCAACCGUGGAACGGCUGGGUAUACUGCCUGUCUUGAGCCAGCUAGGGGCGAGCGGAACAGACGGUGGAGCGGUGAAAUGCGUAGAUAUCGUCUGGAACGCCGAAGGUGAAAACAGCUCGCUGGGGCUGUGCUGACGCUGAGACACGAAAGCCAGGGGAGCGAACGGG